This 213-nucleotide ribosomal RNA is filed under the name uncultured bacterium. RNAcentral describes it as "partial 16S ribosomal RNA". It matches the Rfam family "Bacterial small subunit ribosomal RNA", at positions 118 to 332 of the family's 1533-position model. The record is from RNAcentral.
UGAGCAAUCUGCCCUUCUCAUCGGAAUAACCAUUGGAAACGAUGGCUAAUGCCGAAUAUGACCUCGGAUCACAUGUUCUGAGGUGGAAAGCUCCGGCGGAGAAGGAUGAGCUCGCGGCCUAUCAGCUUGUUGGUGAGGUAAUGGCUCACCAAGGCAUUGACGGGUAGCCGGCCUGAGAGGGUGACCGGCCACACUGGCACUGAAACACGGGCA